Molecule: long non-coding RNA, 779 nt
Organism: Rattus norvegicus (Norway rat)
Lineage: Eukaryota; Metazoa; Chordata; Mammalia; Rodentia; Muridae
Source: RefSeq, a predicted model, not a curated record
AGAGAGAGCAGGACAUGAACAGAAUAUGAGGCCAUAAAAAAUGGAGAGAACUCCGUUCAAAUGUCAGCAGGGGACAGGGAGACCUGCUCAGUAAUAAGAUGCAUUUUGGCUCACUAGAAAUGCUGGAGUAUCCAGAGCUCUCUUGACCUGGAGCAGGACGCUCCUUAAGACCUUUCUUACUGGGAAAACAGCGAAGCAGCUUCCAUCAAUCCACCACCUCUCACAGAGGGCAGACCUAUGGCAGGGACCACCUGCCUGUGUAAAGUCUGCCUGAUCACACAGACCAUGAAAACAGCGAAGCAGCUUCCAUCAAUCCACCACCUCUCACAGAGGGCAGACCUAUGGCAGGGACCACCUGCCUGUGUAAAGUCUGCCUGAUCACACAGACCAUGCACGUCUACACUACAUCAGCUCAACCAACAGCGCACCAACUAUGUGGCAGGCAUGGUGUUAGAUUCAUGGUCCAAGGGUGAGACCGCUGUAGCACCUUCCUCCAAACAGUGCACAUGGUUGUGUGGGAAGAAAAAACCCGGGAGAAGAAGAUUGUAGCUCUGAGGCAGGUUCUAUAAGAACGUUACAGGUAUGGGAUUCAAGAUGGAGGAGUCAAUCUGGAAUGCUUCUGAAGAUGAGAGGAGAAAGAUUUCUUAUGAGACGGCUUCGCUGAUGAGUGAGUGCUACCUUUGGGAACAGCGUGCCCUGGAAUAAAAACCAAUACAGAGAACUUCGUCCAAGCAAAAAUCAAGAGUAAGAAAUCCUCAUUACAAGGAUUUAGUAACUGG